This is a long non-coding RNA of Herpailurus yagouaroundi (jaguarundi), 674 nucleotides long. RefSeq lists it as uncharacterized. The record is from RefSeq and is a predicted model, not a curated record. Lineage: Eukaryota; Metazoa; Chordata; Mammalia; Carnivora; Felidae. The transcript has 2 exons.
GUUCCAAACAGACUACUUUUUGCCUUACAUGGGCAUAGGCGACACCCAGGGUGAUUUCUCACAGGCGUUUCAGACCACCUCUUCCCAAGGAUUUCAUCUGAGACAAGCUGAAGAACAGUGAAAAUUCCUGAUGCCCUCCAACCACUACAGCCGACGCCAUCCUAUCAACCGUCUGCCUUAUACAUUAUACUACAGCUCCCUGCAAUCCCAUGAUUCCUGCACACUGUGGGGACAGAGCUCGUGCACGUCCUGUAUCCGUGUUACAAGAGACUCCUCUACGCGCUGCCCCGGCCUCAGCCUGUGCACAUCAGCCAGGUUAGGAGAUUUAGGCAGAAUAUUCUUUUCUUUCUUUCUAUUUUUAUUUUUAUUUUUAGUGAAAAAAAUGUCUGGUGCCUGGGUUUAUUGCCUCCCCCAGUUACCACGUGUCCUGAAGAGUCCAAACCUAGAAAAUAAUGUCUGAACGGUUGACUCCAGUCCAGGAACACGAGGCAAGUUCCAUCCAGGUUUCUCCCACAUGGAAGUAGGGCUAUUGCCUGUUCUAUGUGUUAUUUGAAACAAACUCUGUGACAUUGUAUCUGUUGGCUUUACUCUUAGGUUCCCCGGUAGGGUUCUCCAGGCUUGGGACUUCAAAACAAAACGAAAACAAGCAAAUAAAACAUGCUACUCCUCCAUCA